AGUUUGAUCAUGGCUCAGAUUGAACGCUGGCGGCGUGCCUAACACAUGCAAGUCGAACGGCAGCACAGGCUGUAGCAAUACAGUUGGGUGGCGAGUGGCGGACGGGUGAGUAGUACGUAGGAAUCUGUCUUAGAGGGCGGGACAACCCGGGGAAACUCGGGCUAAUACCGCAUAAUCUCGAGAGAGGAAAGCGUGGGACUGUUAAAGGCCACGCACUCAAAGGGGAGCUUACGUCGGAUUAGCUAGUUGGUUAGGUAAAGGCUGACCAAGGCGAAGAUCCGUAGCUGGUCUGAGAGGACGAUCAGCCACACUGGGACUGAGACACGGCCCAGACUCCUACGGGAGGCAGCAGUGGGGAAUUUUGGACAAUGGGGGCAACCCUGAUCCAGCCAUUCCGCGUGAGUGAAGAAGGCCUUCGGGUUGUAAAGCUCUUUUGUCCGGAACGAAACGGGUAGCGUGAAUAUCGCUGCCUACUGACGGUACCGGAAGAAUAAGCACCGGCUAACUACGUGCCAGCAGCCGCGGUAGUCGGGCCCAAU
Molecule: ribosomal RNA, 539 nt
Filed under: uncultured bacterium
Lineage: Bacteria
Description: bacterial SSU rRNA
Rfam family: Bacterial small subunit ribosomal RNA
Source: RNAcentral